GGCGAGACACACCCGCCAAAUUCUGGACAACGGCGCGAUACACGUGGCAGCAUGAGCGAGAGUGGUGCUCUUUCCUACUCGCGGCGUGUGUCGAAUACGCCGCACUCGCAACCUUUACAUUUCAGGUAGGCCCCACAGGAUUCCCCAUAUCAUCAUCGUCAUCCCAGAUUUCUCCGAGUGUAAUUUUUUUUUUUUAACCUCUCAAAUGUGAUUUCGCAGUGGCGGUGGCGUAAAGAGCAGAGGCGGUGAUGAAGGCUGACAGGGAUGGGAGAGUGACGCCGCCGUGAGUUAACGGAGAACGAGGCGUUCGGCGAGCG
Molecule: long non-coding RNA, 317 nt
Filed under: Carica papaya (papaya)
Lineage: Eukaryota; Viridiplantae; Streptophyta; Magnoliopsida; Brassicales; Caricaceae
Description: long non-coding RNA (CPAP_LNC008832)
Source: RNAcentral